This 1412-nucleotide ribosomal RNA is filed under the name Candidatus Phytoplasma trifolii. RNAcentral describes it as "bacterial SSU rRNA". It matches the Rfam family "Bacterial small subunit ribosomal RNA". The record is from RNAcentral. Lineage: Bacteria; Bacillati; Mycoplasmatota; Mollicutes; Acholeplasmatales; Acholeplasmataceae.
UUUAAGACGAGGAUAACAAUUGGAAACGGUUGCUAAGACUGGAUAGGAAACAAAAAGGCAUCUUUUUGUUUUUAAAAGACCUUCUUAUGAAGGUAUGCUUAAAGAGGGGCUUGCGCCACAUUAGUUAGUUGGUAGGGUAAAAGCCUACCAAGACGAUGAUGUGUAGCUGGACUGAGAGGUUGAACAGCCACAUUGGGACUGAGACACGGCCCAAACUCCUACGGGAGGCAGCAGUAGGGAAUUUUCGGCAAUGGAGGAAACUCUGACCGAGCAACGCCGCGUGAACGAUGAAGUAUUUCGGUAUGUAAAGUUCUUUUAUUGAAGAAGAAAAAGUAGUGGAAAAACUAUAUUGACGUUAUUCAAUGAAUAAGCCCCGGCUAACUAUGUGCCAGCAGCCGCGGUAAGACAUAGGGGGCGAGCGUUAUCCGGAAUUAUUGGGCGUAAAGGGUGCGUAGGCUGUUAGAUAAGUCUAUAAUUUAAUUUCAGUGCUUAACGCUGUCUUGUUAUAGAAACUGUCUUGACUAGAGUGAGAUAGAGGCAAGCGGAAUUCCAUGUGUAGCGGUAAAAUGUGUAAAUAUAUGGAGGAACACCAGAAGCGUAGGCGGCUUGCUGGGUCUUUACUGACGCUGAGGCACGAAAGCGUGGGUAGCAAACAGGAUUAGAUACCCUGGUAGUCCACGCCGUAAACGAUGAGUACUAAGUGUCGGGGUAAAACUCGGUACUGAAGUUAACACAUUAAGUACUCCGCCUGAGUAGUACGUACGCAAGUAUGAAACUUAAAGGAAUUGACGGGACUCCGCACAAGCGGUGGAUCAUGUUGUUUAAUUCGAAGAUACACGAAAAAUCUUACCAGGUCUUGACAUACUCUGCAAAGCUAUAGAAAUAUAGUGGAGGUUAUCAGGGAUACAGGUGGUGCAUGGUUGUCGUCAGUUCGUGUCGUGAGAUGUUAGGUUAAGUCCUAAAACGAGCGCAACCCUUGUCGUUAAUUGCCAGCACGUAAUGGUGGGGACUUUAGCGAGACUGCCAAUUAAACAUUGGAGGAAGGUGAGGAUUACGUCAAAUCAUCAUGCCCCUUAUGAUCUGGGCUACAAACGUGAUACAAUGGCUGUGACAAAGAGUAGCUGAAACGCGAGUUUUUAGCCAAUCUCAAAAAAGCAGUCUCAGUUCGGAUUGAAGUCUGUAACUCGACUUCAUGAAGUUGGAAUCGCUAGUAAUCGCGAAUCAGCAUGUCGCGGUGAAUACGUUCUCGGGGUUUGUACACACCGCCCGUCAAACCACGAAAGUUAGCAAUACCCGAAAACAGUAGCUUAACUUCGUAAGAAGAGGGAACUGUCUAAGGUAGGGUUGAUGAUUGGGGUUAAGUCGUAACAAGGUAUCCCUACCGGAAGGUGGGGAUGGAUCACCUCCUUUCU